CAAUAGCGUAUAUUAAAGUUGUUGCGGUUAAAAAGCUCGUAGUUGGAUUUCUGCCGAGGACGUCCGGUCCGCCCUCUGGGUGUGUACAUGGUACGGCCUGGGCAUCUUCUUGGAAAACGUAUCUGCACUUGACUGUGUGGUGCGGUAUCCAGGACUUUUACUUUGAGGAAAUUAGAGUGUUUCAAGCAGGCCUACGCCUUGAAUACAUUAGCAUGGAAUAAUAAGAUAGGACCUCGGUUCUAUUUUGUUGGUUUCUAGAGCUGAGGUAAUGAUUAAUAGGGAUAGUUGGGGGCAUUCGUAUUUAACUGUCAGAGGUGAAAUUCUUGGAUUUGUCAAAGACGGACUACUGCGAAAGCAUUUGCCAAGGAUGUUUUCAUUGA
Molecule: ribosomal RNA, 380 nt
Filed under: uncultured eukaryote
Lineage: Eukaryota
Description: partial 18S ribosomal RNA
Rfam family: Eukaryotic small subunit ribosomal RNA
Source: RNAcentral